AAAAUUUUAGUUUAAUUUAAAAUAAUUCAUUUACAUUGAAAAGAUUAAUAUUUAAUUUUUA
RNAcentral lists this transfer RNA (61 nucleotides) under Formica candida. RNAcentral describes it as "tRNA-Val". The record is from RNAcentral. Lineage: Eukaryota; Metazoa; Arthropoda; Insecta; Hymenoptera; Formicidae. RNAcentral also lists the same sequence under 1 other name.